CGAUUGUGCUGCAAUACAAAGAAGGCUGUGCGCAGAGUGCAGUCGUCCUAGAUAACAGGACCGCUCAGCCAGAGAAGAAACCAAUCUCCACUGCGCAGCAGGCAAAGCAGGCAUUAUGAAUUUUGAACAAGUUACGCCAAAAAUUUCAUUGGCCGCUUUACGCGCUUUAAAUGAAUUCAACAACAAGCAUGGUAUUCAUAUAAUCUACAAUGCGGAAAGAACCGUGAACAACAAAGAAGAAAAAACCGGUAUAAAGCCUUUUCCAGGAUACAACAUACAGCACUUGGUGCGCUUCGUGAAACCUCAGAAAAGGUGCCACUACCAGACCGGUAGACAACAGAGUUGACUCAUGAAUUCGACAAGUGACGCCUUCGCAUUCAAGGUUUUCCGGUUAUUAUCUAACAACUUUACGCACCGGGAUAAGUAUGCGUCGAAGAACAUUGAGUGAGAAUACCAGAGCAUCUUGCUUUAAGUGAAUUGUGUUCUUACCUCGCAGUGCCGAGGCCACGCAGCAGUUCUGCAGGCAGUGUUGGCUCAGGAGUGUUCACGGCAUUAAGGAAUUUGACGUCCUAAAGGGCCUGAAUAGCUGGUAGA
Molecule: long non-coding RNA, 594 nt
Organism: Dermacentor andersoni
Lineage: Eukaryota; Metazoa; Arthropoda; Arachnida; Ixodida; Ixodidae
Source: RefSeq, a predicted model, not a curated record